UUUCGACGACAGCUGAGAAGUGAUGCGAUACCAUAUUAUUUUUUUCUUUCACAACAAAACUUAAGAUUCUCAAUUAGAGCUCUGCACAAGGUGAAGGUUAUCUGGAGUCAUUCCACAGUGCCCUGCUGAAAAAUACCCCAAAGUGGAGGCAUUUUGGGUACACAAGCUUGAGGGAGCGGACACGCCUUGCGGUUUUGGAGCGCAACAAGAUUGUGGGAUAGAAACCAGGGGGCACCAAGGGACACUGAAACAUAAAAUCAAUCAAGACUACAACAGAGACGUGCAGUACCAACAGUUGGUGGUUAAGGAGCUUGUCACACCAGUCUUCGCUUUGGCUCCCCCUCCUGUCCAACUCAGGCAUUCGGCGUCUCCGGCCUUCUAGCUGCUGCCGAACCUACUGCUGGGAAACGCCCUUCACUCAUCAACCCCAGACUUGUCUCGUCAUCAUUACACACACCUGGUUCCAAUCCCCACACCAUCACUGUAUAUAGUCCCUCUGCCAUUUGUCUUUGUCGGUCAUUGUAAAUGUGACUUGUUUUCCUGAGAGGAAUCUCUCCUACUAUUUCCUGAGUACUUUAUAUUUUGCACUUUGGGUUUGCCCUGUGUCUUUUUGUUUAUGAAGAUAUAUUUUGAGCACAACAGUGUUUGGGUUUUGUCCUGCUUUGUUG
RNAcentral lists this long non-coding RNA (668 nucleotides) under Salmo salar (Atlantic salmon). RNAcentral describes it as "lncRNA (ENSSSAG00000097232.1)". The record is from RNAcentral. Lineage: Eukaryota; Metazoa; Chordata; Actinopteri; Salmoniformes; Salmonidae.